Molecule: long non-coding RNA, 445 nt
Filed under: Pan troglodytes (chimpanzee)
Lineage: Eukaryota; Metazoa; Chordata; Mammalia; Primates; Hominidae
Description: long non-coding RNA NONPTRT017144
Source: RNAcentral
AACGGGAAUAGUUUUCAACGUCUGUUUCAUUCCCUGCUUCAGAGGACCUCUUUAAUCUUUGAUUUUGGUCCCUGUUUCUAAGAAAAGCAACUGAAAAGGUCGUAAUACCGCCCCUGAGAAAAAAGGAGCAGCGCUAAGUAAUCGAGAAAAUGCCUCCUCUUGAAACGGAUAUAGAGAUGGAAACAAGAUAUAAGAAGGAUUGAGAAUCAUAUAAUACAGGAGCUUAAACACCUAUGCGCGAUGAUAAAGAGGGUAAUAUUAGAGCGCUUGGAAAAUACCAGGAAGUUGAGAGAGUUAACAGAAGGGCGCACGCUGGAUUGGCCACAAAAUCGAAUUACUGAAAGUUGCUCCUUGUCCUUAUAUGAAGUAGAUUCCAGACCUCACAAUUGUAUAUGCCUACCCUUCUACUCCAACGCCUCAAAAAAAGAGGAAGAAUGAAAGCAUG